AUCCCCUCCAGGAUGGGACUGCGUCAGAUCAGGCUGUGGGCGGGGUAAUGGCCCACCAACCCUGUAACCAGUACGGGCCUUGAGCAGAGGGGGCCCAGAGGUGGUCACUGAGAAGAGGGCCGAGGUCCUACGGGGCACCGGAGGCGCAAAAUUCGCGAUGCGCGAAAGCGUGAGGAGGGGAAUCCGAGUGGGUCCCGCUGAGGGAAUCUUUUGUCGGCUCUAAAAAGGGCCGGGGAAUAAGGGGAGGGCAAGUCUGGUGUCCGCCGCCGCGGUAAUACCCGCUCCUCCCAGUGGGCGGGGCGAUUUUUGUGGCUAAAGCAUCCCUAGCCCGUUCUGUAGGUCCUCUGUUGAAACCCACGGCUUAACCGUUGGCCCGCACAAGAUACCGCUGGACUAGUAGGCGGGAGAGGCCCACGGGGCUCCACCUGGAGGGGGAAAAUCCUUUGUAUCCUCCUAAGACCACCAGUGGCGAAGGAAGUCUCCCAGAACGCGCUCAACGGUGAGGGAUGACAGCUGGGGGAGCCUACCGGAUUAUAUACCCGGCUAGUCCCACCCGUUAACAAAUGCAUAGCUAGUUGAUUCGGUCGCAAAUCGCGAUCGAAGUGUCGCAGGGAAGCCGUUAAGCUCGCCGCCUGGGGGAGUACGGUCGCCAGACUGAAACUUAAAGGAAUUGCUGGGGGGAGCCCAAAAAAAA
Molecule: ribosomal RNA, 694 nt
Filed under: uncultured crenarchaeote
Lineage: Archaea; Thermoproteati; Thermoproteota
Description: bacterial SSU rRNA
Rfam family: Archaeal small subunit ribosomal RNA
Source: RNAcentral